GGGGGGGGGGGGGGGGGGGCGUGGGGCGGGGGGGGCGGGGGGGAGGGGGCCGGCGGUGGGGGGCGCGGGGCGGGCGGGGGGGUGGUGCAUCGGAGCGUACCCGGAGGUUGGGGCUAGCGCAGCGUCAGCUGGUCGAAGUCCGCAUGGGAUCUGAGGGUGAACGCCGUGGGCCGGGGAGCACUGUUUGGGCGCGCGCCUUUGGACCUGCCGAUGUCGUAGUAGCUAGUUGGGUGGGUAACGGCCUACCACGGCGACGAUCCGUAGCUGGUCUGAGAGGACGAUCAGCCACACUGGGACUGAGACACGGACCAGACUCCUACGGGAGGCAGCAGUGGGGAAUUUUGGACAAUGGGCGCAAGCCUGAUCCAGCAAUGCCGCGUGCGGGAAGAAGGCCUUCGGGUUGUAAACCGCUUUUGGUAGGAACGAAACGGUGUCCGCUAAUACCGGGCGCUAAUGACGGUACCUGCAGAAUAAGCACCGGCUAACUACGUG
RNAcentral lists this ribosomal RNA (492 nucleotides) under uncultured bacterium. Its description in RNAcentral is "partial 16S ribosomal RNA". It matches the Rfam family "Bacterial small subunit ribosomal RNA", at positions 35 to 507 of the family's 1533-position model. The record is from RNAcentral.